RNAcentral lists this ribosomal RNA (504 nucleotides) under uncultured bacterium. RNAcentral's name for it is "bacterial SSU rRNA". It matches the Rfam family "Bacterial small subunit ribosomal RNA", at positions 15 to 507 of the family's 1533-position model. The record is from RNAcentral.
GAUCAUGGCUCAGGAUGAACGCUAGCUACAGGCUUAACACAUGCAAGUCGAGGGGAAACGACAUCGAAAGCUUGCUUUGAUGGGCGUCGACCGGCGCACGGGUGAGUAACGCGUAUCCAACCUGCCCACCACUUGGGGAUAACCUUGCGAAAGUAAGACUAAUACCCAAUGAUAUCCCACGAAGGCAUCGGAAUGGGAUUAAAGAUUUAUCGGUGAUGGAUGGGGAUGCGUCUGAUUAGCUUGUUGGCGGGGUAACGGCCCACCAAGGCAACGAUCAGUAGGGGUUCUGAGAGGAAGGUCCCCCACAUUGGAACUGAGACACGGUCCAAACUCCUACGGGAGGCAGCAGUGAGGAAUAUUGGUCAAUGGGCGAGAGCCUGAACCAGCCAAGUAGCGUGCAGGAUGACGGCCCUAUGGGUUGUAAACUGCUUUUAUAAGGGAAUAAAGUUAGUCUCGUGAGACUUUUUGCAUGUACCUUAUGAAUAAGGACCGGCUAAUUCCGUG